CAUAAUAGAGGUUUAAGUCCUCUCACUUCC
This 30-nucleotide transfer RNA is filed under the name Heteronotia binoei (common prickly gecko). Its description in RNAcentral is "partial tRNA-Ile". Lineage: Eukaryota; Metazoa; Chordata; Lepidosauria; Squamata; Gekkonidae. The record is from RNAcentral.